RNAcentral lists this ribosomal RNA (99 nucleotides) under uncultured bacterium. RNAcentral describes it as "partial 16S ribosomal RNA". The record is from RNAcentral.
CCGACCCGUCCACAUCUACGAAAAGUGGGUUGUACUAGAAGUCUGCGAGCUAACCCGCAAGGGGAGCAGCGGCCCAAGGUAUGACUCAUGAUUGGGGUG